Molecule: ribosomal RNA, 589 nt
Filed under: Paraconopora anthohelia
Lineage: Eukaryota; Metazoa; Cnidaria; Hydrozoa; Anthoathecata; Stylasteridae
Description: Conopora anthohelia partial 16S large subunit ribosomal RNA
Rfam family: Bacterial large subunit ribosomal RNA
Source: RNAcentral
CUUAAGAUAAAUUUAAGAUGAUACCUGCUCAAUGACUCUUAAAUAAAUAACUAUAAAACGUUAAAAAAGAGUUUAAAAGACGCAGUAAUCUAACUGUGAUAAUGUAGCAUAAUCACUUGCCAUUUAAUUGAUGGAUAGUAUGAAAGGUUUAACGAAUCCCCUCCUUUCUCUAAAAAAAGAAAUUAUGAAAUUAAAAUAAUAGUUAAGAUGCUAUUUAAAAUUGUAAGACGAAAAGACCCUAUAGAGCUUAACUAUAACUUUUCUUAAAAUCAAGAAUUAUAAUUCUAAAAAAAGAAAGAAAGGUAGUUUAGUUGGGGCGACUCUCUUUUAAAAUUAACAAAGACAAGCAACAUUAAUACAUAAUUUAUUGUAAAAUUUAUAAAUUUAACAAUUACUAACGUAGGCUAUAAUGAUCUGUUAAAUUUUAAUAAUAAUUUUAACAAUUAAUAAAUAAAAGUUACCUUAGGGAUAACAGAACUAUUUUAUCCUAAAGACCUUAUUAAAGAUAAAGUUUGUUACCUCAAUGUUGAAUUAAGAUAUCCUAACAGUGCAAAAGCUGUCAAAGGUAGGUCUGUUCGACCUUUAAAAU